UCAGGUCCGACCUGCCCACUGAGAGAGUUAAAUGGCCGCGGUAUUUUGACCGUGCAAAGGUAGCAUAAUCAUUAGUUUUUUAAUUGGGAGCUUGUAUGAAAGGUUUGAUGAGAAAACGGCUGUCUCUGAUUGAGUUGAAUAGAAUUUUAUUUUUAAGUGAGAAAGCUUAAAUUUGUAUAGAAGACGAGAAGACCCUAUAGAGUUUCACAAAUAAGAAAAUAUUUAAGUUAAUGGAGUGAUGAAAUUAAAUGUUUUUGGUGUUUGUUUUGUUGGGGUGAUAGAAAAAUUGAAGAAACUUUUUUUUAUUGUUAUAUUGAUGUGUAGAUUUAUGAUCCUUUAGUUAAGAUUAAAAGAUAAAAUUACCUUAGGGAUAACAGCGUGAUUUUUUCUAGAGCUCUUAUCGAAGAAAAAGAUUGCGACCUCGAUGUUGGAUUAAAAUUAAUUGUUGGUGUAGAAGCUAAUAAGGUAGGUCUGUUCGACCUUUAAAAUUUUACAUGAUCUGAGUUUA
RNAcentral lists this ribosomal RNA (508 nucleotides) under Trigonopterus hypocrita. Its description in RNAcentral is "partial large subunit ribosomal RNA". It matches the Rfam family "Bacterial large subunit ribosomal RNA", at positions 1846 to 2613 of the family's 2925-position model. Lineage: Eukaryota; Metazoa; Arthropoda; Insecta; Coleoptera; Curculionidae. The record is from RNAcentral.